CUCCGGGACGAGCCCCCGCGGUGCCCCUGGGCCGCGGGCGGCGACACCCCAUCACCCUCUGUUUACCUUGCCUCUGUUGCUUCGGCAGGACUCCUCCCUGGGUGGUACCGGGCUGGGGACCUGCCGGAGGGCCCCUACUCGUGGAUAUAGUGUCUUGUUGUCUGAUAUGUGAUUAUAAUAGUUUACAACUUUUAACAAUGGAUCUCUUGGCUCUGGCAUCGAUGAAGAACGCAGCGAAACGCGAUAUGUAAUGUGAAUUGCAGACUUUAGUGAAUCAUCGAAUCUUUGAACGCACAUUGCGCCCUGUGGUAUUCCACGGGGCAUACCUGUUCGAGCGUCAUUACAACCUCUCCAGCUCUGCUGGGUCUUGGGGCUUGCCUUUCCCGGGCAUCCCUUAAAAUCAGAUGCGGUGCCGCGGGGCCCUAAGCGUAGUACUGUUCUCGCUUCUGGAUCCACUGCGGUGUCUGCUAGAACACCCCCUCUCUUUAGGUUGACCUCGAAUCAGGUAGGGAUACCCGCUGAACUUAAGCAUAUCAAUA
RNAcentral lists this ribosomal RNA (539 nucleotides) under Helotiales sp. 211 OA-2013. Its description in RNAcentral is "eukaryotic LSU rRNA". The stretch from base 187 to 340 matches the Rfam family "5.8S ribosomal RNA". The record is from RNAcentral. Lineage: Eukaryota; Fungi; Ascomycota; Leotiomycetes; Helotiales.